AUUGAACGCUGGCGGCAUGCUUUACACAUGCAAGUCGAACGGCAGCACGAAAGAGCUUGCUCUUUUGGUGGCGAGUGGCGAACGGGUGAGUAAUGCAUCGGAACGUACCGAGUAAUGGGGGAUAACUGUCCGAAAGGAUAGCUAAUACCGCAUACGCUUUGAGAAGGAAAGUGGGGGCUCUUCGGACCUCACGUUAUUCGAGCGGCCGAUGUCUGAUUAGCUAGUUGGUGGGGUAAAGGCCUACCAAGGCGACGAUCAGUAGCGGGUCUGAGAGGAUGAUCGGCCACACUGGAACUGAAACACGGCCAAGACUCCUACGAGAGGCAGCAGUGGCGAAUUUUGGACAAUGGGCGCAAGCCUGAUCCAGCCAUGCCGCGUGUCUGAAGAAGGCCUUCGGGUUGUAAAGGACUUUUGUUAGGGAAGAAAAGGAUAGUGUUAAUACCAUUAUCUGCUGACGGUACCUAAAGAAUAAGCACCGGCUAACUACGUG
Molecule: ribosomal RNA, 490 nt
Filed under: uncultured bacterium
Lineage: Bacteria
Description: partial 16S ribosomal RNA
Rfam family: Bacterial small subunit ribosomal RNA
Source: RNAcentral